RNAcentral lists this non-coding RNA (199 nucleotides) under Paraliobacillus sp. PM-2. Its description in RNAcentral is "Bacterial large subunit ribosomal RNA". It matches the Rfam family "Bacterial large subunit ribosomal RNA", at positions 2736 to 2912 of the family's 2925-position model. The record is from Rfam by way of RNAcentral. Lineage: Bacteria; Bacillati; Bacillota; Bacilli; Caryophanales; Bacillaceae.
CGCAGGAAGCAAGCAAUCACCCUUCGGGGUGAGCGCUUGUGGAAUGAGCGGCGGACGGGUGAGUAACACGUGGGCAUGAAGCCCCCCUCAAGAUGAGACUUCCCAUCUUUUAGAGUAAGAUCCCUCAGAGACGAUGAGGUAGAUAGGUUCGAGGUGGAAGCGUGGUGACACGUGCAGCUGACGAAUACUAAUCGAUCGA